Molecule: non-coding RNA, 1001 nt
Organism: Misgurnus anguillicaudatus (oriental weatherfish)
Lineage: Eukaryota; Metazoa; Chordata; Actinopteri; Cypriniformes; Cobitidae
Source: RefSeq, a predicted model, not a curated record
ACCCACCCUCGGAUGAAGAUCUAAAAAGCUAUGUUUUAAAAGCACAAUAUUUCAGUUUAUUUUAAUAGAAGAAAUAUUUAUUGUUAAACAAGUUCUAAUUUUCAGUUCCGUCUGGACGUGGGCCAUCUUUUUUACCAUCUUUAUUGUUUUUUUAACAUUUUGUCUUUUGUUAUGUGUUAUUAGCUAUGGUUAUUAGUCAUGUUCGACUUCAUGCUGCGCUGCGAGAACCGACAUCAUACGUUGAUGACGUCAAUGUAUCGCGAGAGCGAGUCAAGAAUUACACUCUCGCGGUACAUUGACGUUAUCAACCUGUCAGCGCAGCAAGAAGUCGAACACACGUAUUUGCGGGCGCGCGCCUCCGUCCUCGUGAGUUCAAAGUGGAUUUUAACCGUUUACCUCAGACGACAGUUUUCAUUUCUAUGGCAAAUUCUAAGGUCAUUUUCUUGUUGUGUUUUGAUGUUUUCCAUUGGCUGAAGAGCAGAUUACCAUGCAAUUUGAAGAAGUGUGAUAAAAUACACAGAGGUGAAGUCAUGUGUCUUUCCAGAUGCCCAAUCUGUACCACUCAAAAAGUAAUGAAGUGACACUGUACCAUGACAAAAAAUAUGAGCCUGAAGAGGAGAUUUGGGAAGAUGCUGUUUAUAAGUCUUUGCUUUGCCAGAUCACCUGUGGUCGAGAUGUCUGCUAACAAGAUGCCUUGUUGGUCUGGGCGAGUUUGAAGUCUCUCACAGACAGUCCAGAAGGUCUGGAGUCCAUCUUAGCUUUUAUUGAACCCAUCAGCAACCAUCAAGAGAAAUUGGAGGCAGCUGAGCUAAAUUGCAGAUAUUGAUGCAAAUGAUCUGUAUAAUAUGCUUUCAUCGGGUUUUAAGUACAGUAUGAGCCAGAAUGGAAGGGUGUUGGUGGCCAUAAGAAGACUGUGAGCUAAACCUACAACAAAAUUCAUAUUUGCAGUUUUCCUAUAUAUUUUUUUCUAUUCAGAUGAAUAAAAUGACUUUUAAAUAUUA